Molecule: ribosomal RNA, 468 nt
Filed under: uncultured bacterium
Lineage: Bacteria
Description: partial 16S ribosomal RNA
Rfam family: Bacterial small subunit ribosomal RNA
Source: RNAcentral
GACGAACGCUGGCGGCGUGCUUAACACAUGCAAGUCGAACGGAAAGGCCCUGCUUUUGUGGGGUGCUCGAGUGGCGAACGGGUGAGUAACACGUGAGUAACCUGCCCUUGACUUUGGGAUAACUUCAGGAAACUGGGGCUAAUACCGGAUAGGAGCUCCUGCUGCAUGGUGGGGGUUGGAAAGUUUCGGCGGUUGGGGAUGGUCGCGCGGGUUAUCAGCUUGUUGGUGGGGUAGUGGCUUACCAAGGCUUUGACGGGUAGCCGGCCUGAGAGGGUGACCGGCCACAUUGGGACUGAGAUACGGCCCAGACUCCUACGGGAGGCAGCAGUGGGGAGUAUUGCACAAUGGGCGGAAGCCAGAUGCAGCAACGCCGCGUGCGGGAUGACGGCCUUCGGGUUGUAAACCGCUUUCGCCUGUGACGAAGCGUGAGUGACGGUAAUGGGUAAAGAAGCACCGGCUAACUACGUG